AGUGAACGCUGGCGGUAGGCCUAACACUUGCAAGUCGAACGGCAGCACAGUAAGAGCUUGCUCUUACGGGUGGCGAGUGGCGGACGGGUGAGGAAUACAUCGGAAUCUACUUUUUCGUGGGGGAUAACGUAGGGAAACUUACGCUAAUACCGCAUACGACCUACGGGUGAAAGCAGGGGAUCUUCGGACCUUGCGCGAUUGAAUGAGCCGAUGUCGGAUUAGCUAGUUGGCGGGGUAAAGGCCCACCAAGGCGACGAUCCGUAGCUGGUCUGAGAGGAUGAUCAGCCACACUGGAACUGAGACACGGUCCAGACUCCUACGGGAGGCAGCAGUGGGGAAUAUUGGACAAUGGGCGCAAGCCUGAUCCAGCCAUACCGCGUGGGUGAAGAAGGCCUUCGGGUUGUAAAGCCCUUUUGUUGGGAAAGAAAAGCAGCAGGUUAAUACCCCGCCGUUCUGACGGUACCCAAAGAAUAAGCACCGGCUAACUUCGUG
This 492-nucleotide ribosomal RNA is filed under the name uncultured bacterium. Its description in RNAcentral is "partial 16S ribosomal RNA". It matches the Rfam family "Bacterial small subunit ribosomal RNA", at positions 29 to 507 of the family's 1533-position model. The record is from RNAcentral.